UACGUAGGUGGCAAGCGUUAUCCGGAAUUAUUGGGCGUAAAGGGCUCGCAGGCGGCAGCUUAAGUCUGAUGUGAAAGCCCACGGCUUAACCGUGGAGGGUCAUUGGAAACUGGGCAGCUAGAGUGCAGAAGAGGAGAGUGGAAUUCCACGUGUAGCGGUGAAAUGCGUAGAGAUGUGGAGGAACACCAGUGGCGAAGGCGACUCUCUGGUCUGUAACUGACGCUGAGGAGCGAAAGCGUGGGGAGCAAACAGG
Molecule: ribosomal RNA, 253 nt
Filed under: uncultured bacterium
Lineage: Bacteria
Description: partial 16S ribosomal RNA
Rfam family: Bacterial small subunit ribosomal RNA
Source: RNAcentral